Molecule: transfer RNA, 78 nt
Filed under: Chloroflexota bacterium
Lineage: Bacteria; Bacillati; Chloroflexota
Also listed under: 2 other names
Description: Chloroflexi bacterium tRNA-Lys
Rfam family: tRNA
About the family: Transfer RNA (tRNA) molecules are approximately 80 nucleotides in length. Their secondary structure includes four short double-helical elements and three loops (D, anti-codon, and T loops).
Source: RNAcentral
GGGCCGUUAGCUCAGCUUGGUCAGAGCACCGGACUUUUAAUCCGGGUGUCUAGGGUUCGAAUCCCUAACGGCCCACCA